This 107-nucleotide small nuclear RNA is filed under the name Salvator merianae (Argentine black and white tegu). Lineage: Eukaryota; Metazoa; Chordata; Lepidosauria; Squamata; Teiidae. The record is from RNAcentral.
GUGCUCGCUUCGGCAGUACAAAUACUAACAUUGGAAUGAUACAGAUGAGAUUAGUUUGGCCCCUGUGCAAGGAUGACACGCAAAUUCGUGAACGUUCCAUAUUUUUU